This 468-nucleotide ribosomal RNA is filed under the name uncultured bacterium. RNAcentral describes it as "partial 16S ribosomal RNA". It matches the Rfam family "Bacterial small subunit ribosomal RNA", at positions 28 to 507 of the family's 1533-position model. The record is from RNAcentral.
GACGAACGCUGGCGGCGUGCUUAACACAUGCAAGUCGAACGGAAAGGCCCUGCUUUUGUGGGGUGCUCGAGUGGCGAACGGGUGAGUAACACGUGAGUAACCUGCCCUUGACUUUGGGAUAACUUCAGGAAACUGGGGCUAAUACCGGAUAGGAGCUCCUGCUGCAUGGUGGGGGUUGGAAAGUUUCGGCGGUUGGGGAUGGACUCGCGGCUUAUCAGCUUGUUGGUGGGGUAGUGGCUUACCAAGGCUUUGACGGGUAGCCGGCCUGAGAGGGUGACCGGCCACAUUGGGACUGAGAUACGGCCCAGACUCGUACGGGAGGCAGCAGUGGGGAAUAUUGCACACUGCGCGGCAGCCUGAUGCAGCCCCGCCGCGUGCGGGAUGACGGCCUUCGGGUUGUAAUCCGCUUUCGCCUGUGACGAAGCGUGAGUGACGGUAAUGGGUAAAGAAGCACCGGCUAACUACGUG